UGGGGAAUCUUGGACAAUGGGGGCAACCCUGAUCCAGCCAUGCCGCGUGAGUGAUGAAGGCCUUAGGGUCGUAAAGCUCUUUCGCCUGUGAAGAUAAUGACGGUAGCAGGUAAAGAAACCCCGGCUAACUCCGUGCCAGCAGCCGCGGUAAUACGGAGGGGGUUAGCGUUGUUCGGAAUUACUGGGCGUAAAGCGCACGUAGGCGGACCAGAAAGUUGGGGGUGAAAUCCCGGGGGCUCAACCCCGGAACUGCCUCCAAAACUAUUGGUCUAGAGUUCGAGAGAGGUGAGUGGAAUUCCAAGUGUAGAGGUGAAAUUCGUAGAUAUUUGGAGGAACACCAGUGGCGAAGGCGGCUCACUGGCUCGAUACUGACGCUGAGGUGCGAAAGUGUGGGGAGCAAACAGGAUUAGAUACCCUGGGUAGUCCACACCGUAAAACGAUGAAUGCCAGUCGUCGGGUAGCAUGCUAUUCGGUGACACACCUAAC
Molecule: ribosomal RNA, 486 nt
Filed under: uncultured bacterium
Lineage: Bacteria
Description: bacterial SSU rRNA
Rfam family: Bacterial small subunit ribosomal RNA
Source: RNAcentral